GGCGUGCGAUACAGGGUGACAGCCCCGUACACAAAAAUGCACAUACUGUGAGCUCGAUGAGUAGGGCGGGACACGUGGUAUCCUGUCUGAAUAUGGGGGGACCAUCCUCCAAGGCUAAAUACUCCUGACUGACCGAUAGUGAACCAGUACCGUGAGGGAAAGGCGAAAAGAACCCCGGCGAGGGGAGUGAAAAAGAACCUGAAACCGUGUACGUACAAGCAGUGGGAGCACGCUUAGGCGUGUGACUGCGUACCUUUUGUAUAAUGGGUCAGCGACUUAUAUUCUGUAGCAAGGUUAACCGAAUAGGGGAGCCGAAGGGAAACCGAGUCUUAACUGGGCGUUAAGUUGCAGGGUAUAGACCCGAAACCCGGUGAUCUAGCCAUGGGCAGGUUGAAGGUUGGGUAACACUAACUGGAGGACCGAACCGACUAAUGUUGAAAAAUUAGCGGAUGACUUGUGGCUGGGGGUGAAAGGCCAAUCAAACCGGGAGAUAGCUGGUUCUCCCCGAAAGCUAUUUAGGUAGCGCCUCGUGAAUUCAUCUCCGGGGGUAGAGCACUGUUUCGGCAAGGGGGUCAUCCCGACUUACCAACCCGAUGCAAACUGCGAAUACCGGAGAAUGUUAUCACGGGAGACACACGGCGGGUGCUAACGUCCGUCGUGAAGAGGGAAACAACCCAGACCGCCAGCUAAGGUCCCAAAGUCAUGGUUAAG
RNAcentral lists this ribosomal RNA (711 nucleotides) under Shigella flexneri. RNAcentral describes it as "bacterial LSU rRNA". It matches the Rfam family "Bacterial large subunit ribosomal RNA", at positions 349 to 1063 of the family's 2925-position model. Lineage: Bacteria; Pseudomonadati; Pseudomonadota; Gammaproteobacteria; Enterobacterales; Enterobacteriaceae. The record is from RNAcentral.